This 355-nucleotide unclassified non-coding RNA is filed under the name soil metagenome. Its description in RNAcentral is "partial contains 5.8S ribosomal RNA, internal transcribed spacer 2, and large subunit ribosomal RNA". The stretch from base 1 to 120 matches the Rfam family "5.8S ribosomal RNA", at positions 35 to 154 of the family's 154-position model. The record is from RNAcentral.
GAUGAAGAACGUAGUGAAAUGCGAUAAGUAGUGUGAAUUGCAGAAUUCAGUGAAUCAUCGAAUCUUUGAACGCACAUUGCGCCUUCUAGUAUUCUGGGAGGCAUGCCUGUUUGAGCGUCAUUAAACCUCUCUCAAGUAUGAUUACUUGGAUGUGAAGGAAGAGUACCUUAAACUUAAGGAGUGUUCUCCUUUGAAAUUGAUUAGCAGAUGGUAAUGUUAUUAAAUCCCUGAUGUUGUAAGAAAUAACAGUGGUUUUGUAGACUAUUAUCUAGCUUUAAAUUAUAAUUUUUAUUAUGGUUGACCUCAAAUCAGGUAGGAAUACCCGCUGAACUUAAGCAUAUCAAUAAGCGGAGGA